Non-coding RNA from Cicer arietinum (chickpea), 552 nucleotides. Lineage: Eukaryota; Viridiplantae; Streptophyta; Magnoliopsida; Fabales; Fabaceae. The record is from RefSeq and is a predicted model, not a curated record.
UUCAAAAGUCAUAUCAUAAACUUUAUUGAUACUAUAGAUGGAAUUUAAGGCACCCAACUAAAACCAAGGUAGCCAACAACAGUAAAAGGACUAAACUAUUUAGCUAUUGCAAUAAAACGCCAAAUGCAAAGAUACCAUUUUGCCAGAUGCAAAGAUAAGUGCAGUUGUUUUUGGUUCUCCGAUCCUCAUCAUCACAGCAGCAAAUGUUCAAAUCACAGGGAUCUGAACUGCAGAAAAAUGACAACUAAAAUGACAGCAUAUCAAGCAUAUUUUCAAAUUGGAAGAAAAAUGAUUGGUUGAGAGUCCAUGCUGGAAGCUCUAACAAUUGCUCACAAUCAAGCUUGUUAUUAUGUCAAUUCACCAAGGAGCAAAGCUUACCACAUAACAUAGUUGCUCCAAUGAAGUGUCACACGUUAGCCAAUCCAAUCAAAUAAAGGCUGAUUGGUGAAUUGAGUUGAAAAAAUGACUCACAUUUUCCAGUUAAUCCUAGCAGGGUUUUAACUAGAUUAAUUCAGUUAAUCAAACAAUCUAAAUUUACUUGUUUUUCAUUUA